AACAAUAAUGACAGCAAUGCAAGUUCUAGGACUUACAAUUUGUAAUAGCACUUUCCCUUGUUACAACAUCAACUUUGGUUUGCUGUCAGUCACCAGGCUUGGACUCCGAAGAAUCCAGCGUUCGUGUAAGAUGUCUGAUUUGAUUCAGACGUGAUCUUCGAGAACGUUUGGGUGUUUCAGGGGAUCUUGCUUCUGCACUUGUCAAAUAAUCACAGAGAAAAAGUUAAUCUUUAAGUAAACAGAUACACUUUGAAAGCCAACAAUAUAUUCUUUCUUCAUUUCACAUUUCAUGGUGGACCGUAUAAAACUCACCCUCAGACUUUUAGAACAUCUUGUUUUUCCCAUUGGUCGAUAUAUCCAACAUGCUUGCACCAUCAGAUCGGACGCUGGAUCCUGAAACAGGAACCAGUGCUAGACCAUCAUUCCCACCGUUAUCAUCAUAUCAGGUUGCACUGCUCAUUUUUUCAUUUUUGAGAAAAUUUAGCAUGUUCUACCCUCCGUCUUCGCAGUUGAUAAUUUCUACGACGUCUAGCUAGAUGUCUUCCUCUCUCUUUGGGCUAUCUCUAUCGCGUCUUCGGCGGCUCUCCCUAUCUUGCUCUUUCCCUUUUUCACGCAACCCUAAACCUGGUAACUCACUUGUUACCAUUUGGCCAGAUUCUUAACAUCCUAUGACACAGCUAAUUUCCGUUACUUCUAGCUCAAUGACCAGCGAACGUUAGAUGAUUGAAAUUUUGCCCUCAACUACCAAACUGAGGAGUCAAAUCAAUAUCAGCAUUUAAAACCAGCGUAGAUGUAUUACUGCAUAACAAUUAACCAUAAUUGGCAUUGUUUAAAAAAUAAAAAGAGGGCAAAUGAGAAACACCUCAAGACGGCAGUUUUUGGAGGCUCAUGCCUCACUUGAGGGAGGCACAAACCUCAAGGCUUGUGAGGUGUGCACUUCUUAAGCCCCCGUUUGGCCCCAUUUUUUGAAAUGAAAAUCGGUAAAAUGGUAUUUUUUUGAAAAAUGAAUG
This 1010-nucleotide long non-coding RNA is filed under the name Olea europaea (common olive). Its description in RNAcentral is "long non-coding RNA (OEUR_LNC014297)". Lineage: Eukaryota; Viridiplantae; Streptophyta; Magnoliopsida; Lamiales; Oleaceae. The record is from RNAcentral.